GUGGAAAUGCAUAAUUUAGCUUUUCGUUCCCCAGCAUAAAAAUUCCCCCUAAGCUCAAUUACCAGAUUGAUUGGCGAAAAUGGGAGCUAGAAUGCUCAAAAAUGCUCAAAAUUGUCUCAAAACUCCUAU
Caenorhabditis elegans is the source of this 129-nucleotide small nucleolar RNA. The record is from Ensembl. Lineage: Eukaryota; Metazoa; Nematoda; Chromadorea; Rhabditida; Rhabditidae.